GACGAACGCUGGCGGCGUGCUUAACACAUGCAAGUCGAACGGAAAGGCCCUGCUUUUGUGGGGUGCUCGAGUGGCGAACGGGUGAGUAACACGUGAGUAACCUGCCCUUGACUUUGGGAUAACUUCAGGAAACUGGGGCUAAUACCGGAUAGGAGCUCCUGCUGCAUGGUGGGGGUUGGAAAGUUUCGGCGGUUGGGGAUGGACUCGCGGCUUAUCAGCUUGUUGGUGGGGUAGUGGCUACCAAGGCUUUGACGGGUAGCCGGCCUGAGAGGGUGACCGGCCACAUUGGGACUGAGAUACGGCCCAGACUCCUACGGGAGGCAGCAGUGGGGAAUAUUGCACAAUGGGCGGAAGCCUGAUGCAGCAACGCCGCGUGCGGGAUGACGGCCUUCGGGUUGUAAACCGCUUUCGCCUGUGACGAAGCGUGAGUGACGGUAAUGGGUAAAGAAACACCGGCUAACUACGU
RNAcentral lists this ribosomal RNA (466 nucleotides) under uncultured bacterium. RNAcentral describes it as "partial 16S ribosomal RNA". It matches the Rfam family "Bacterial small subunit ribosomal RNA", at positions 28 to 506 of the family's 1533-position model. The record is from RNAcentral.